CUGAUCCGCUUAGCGGGUCGGGCCCCUGCGUGGUUCCCGGGGCCGUUCGGGAGCCGUGCGGCCCCGGCAGGCGU
This 74-nucleotide transfer RNA is filed under the name Streptomyces hygroscopicus subsp. jinggangensis TL01. Its description in RNAcentral is "tRNA-Pro". Lineage: Bacteria; Bacillati; Actinomycetota; Actinomycetes; Kitasatosporales; Streptomycetaceae. The record is from RNAcentral.